RNAcentral lists this ribosomal RNA (1240 nucleotides) under Vibrio neocaledonicus. RNAcentral's name for it is "bacterial SSU rRNA". It matches the Rfam family "Bacterial small subunit ribosomal RNA", at positions 31 to 1284 of the family's 1533-position model. Lineage: Bacteria; Pseudomonadati; Pseudomonadota; Gammaproteobacteria; Vibrionales; Vibrionaceae. The record is from RNAcentral.
GAGCAUGGCGCAGACUACCAUGCAGUCGAGCGGAACGAGUUAUCUGAACCUUCGGGGAACGAUAACGGCGUCGAGCGGCGGACGGGUGAGUAAUGCCUAGGAAAUUGCCCUGAUGUGGGGGAUAACCAUUGGAAACGAUGGCUAAUACCGCAUGAUGCCUACGGGCCAAAGAGGGGGACCUUCGGGCCUCUCGCGUCAGGAUAUGCCUAGGUGGGAUUAGCUAGUUGGUGAGGUAAGGGCUCACCAAGGCGACGAUCCCUAGCUGGUCUGAGAGGAUGAUCAGCCACACUGGAACUGAGACACGGUCCAGACUCCUACGGGAGGCAGCAGUGGGGAAUAUUGCACAAUGGGCGCAAGCCUGAUGCAGCCAUGCCGCGUGUGUGAAGAAGGCCUUCGGGUUGUAAAGCACUUUCAGUCGUGAGGAAGGUGGUGUAGUUAAUAGCUGCAUUAUUUGACGUUAGCGACAGAAGAAGCACCGGCUAACUCCGUGCCAGCAGCCGCGGUAAUACGGAGGGUGCGAGCGUUAAUCGGAAUUACUGGGCGUAAAGCGCAUGCAGGUGGUUUGUUAAGUCAGAUGUGAAAGCCCGGGGCUCAACCUCGGAAUAGCAUUUGAAACUGGCAGACUAGAGUACUGUAGAGGGGGGUAGAAUUUCAGGUGUAGCGGUGAAAUGCGUAGAGAUCUGAAGGAAUACCGGUGGCGAAGGCGGCCCCCUGGACAGAUACUGACACUCAGAUGCGAAAGCGUGGGGAGCAAACAGGAUUAGAUACCCUGGUAGUCCACGCCGUAAACGAUGUCUACUUGGAGGUUGUGGCCUUGAGCCGUGGCUUUCGGAGCUAACGCGUUAAGUAGACCGCCUGGGGAGUACGGUCGCAAGAUUAAAACUCAAAUGAAUUGACGGGGGCCCGCACAAGCGGUGGAGCAUGUGGUUUAAUUCGAUGCAACGCGAAGAACCUUACCUACUCUUGACAUCCAGAGAACUUUCCAGAGAUGGAUUGGUGCCUUCGGGAACUCUGAGACAGGUGCUGCAUGGCUGUCGUCAGCUCGUGUGUGAAAUGUUGGGGUAAGUCCCGCACGAGCGCAACCCUAUCUGUUUGCAGCGAGUAUGUCGGGACUCAGGAGACUGCGGUGAUAACGAGAGGUGGGGACGACGUCAGUCAUCAUGACUACGAGUAGGCUAACACUGCUACAUUGGGCCAUACGAGGGCGGUCACUUGCCGAGUGAGGAAUUCCAAAAAGUGC